UAUACUCCACAGUGAAAGGUUUGAACUCAGUAAACUGCUAUCCGAGGCCUAGUUUAAAAGUAUGAGCAUAUAGUUAAACAUAAUUUCUAGUUAAACAGAGUUUCUGCAACAACAUACUUCAAAAUGCCAUCUAAAGCCCGGGAUCAUUGCCAAUUCUCAACAUGGUACAAGAUGCAAUACGGAGAGUAUCAAUAUCAUCCCCAAAUAUCCUCAUUGAUUACAACAAACAACUCUCAGCACAUUUAACUUCAAAGUAUAUAUUAUAUCUUGAGAUAUCCCAAAAGAACACACAAUUGUCACUGCAUCCGAUAGCCAAGUAACAUGCAUAGAAACAUCAAACACUUUGUUGCAUAUCGAGGAGUGAACUUAGCUUUUGUUGGAGGAGGGUCGGCUGCCCUGUUCAGUGGAGCCUGCCCGCCAGAGAAACGUAGCGGCCAAGCUAGAGAAGGCCUUGAGAAACUGGGUGAUCUGAGGCGACACCGGUGGAUCACUAGUACCCAAUAAUGGCUCCCCAACAGCGAUCGCUGAAACAAUUACGAGUGAUCAGAAUCGCGUCGCUAGUGGGGCGCAACCGCUGCACUUUAAUUUCGAUGAAAACAUCAAAGGAGAAGACUGAAUGAUGAUUUUACCCUCGAUUUUGAGAUUCAGGGAUCAGAGAUGUGACCCUUCUUAAA
Molecule: long non-coding RNA, 674 nt
Filed under: Salvia miltiorrhiza (redroot sage)
Lineage: Eukaryota; Viridiplantae; Streptophyta; Magnoliopsida; Lamiales; Lamiaceae
Description: long non-coding RNA (SMIL_LNC014178)
Source: RNAcentral